CAGUCGCCGCGAGAAUACGGAGGGUGCAAGCGUUAAUCGGAAUUACUGGGCGUAAAGCGCACGCAGGCGGUUUGUUAAGUCAGAUGUGAAAUCCCCGAGCUUAACUUGGGAACUGCAUUUGAAACUGGCAAGCUAGAGUCUUGUAGAGGGGGGUAGAAUUCCAGGUGUAGCGGUGAAAUGCGUAGAGAUCUGGAGGAAUACCGGUGGCGAAGGCGGCCCCCUGGACAAAGACUGACGCUCAGGUGCGAAAGCGUGGGGAGCAAACAGGAUUAGAGACCCGUGUAGUCCCUGUCUCUUAUAC
This 301-nucleotide ribosomal RNA is filed under the name uncultured bacterium. RNAcentral describes it as "partial 16S ribosomal RNA". It matches the Rfam family "Bacterial small subunit ribosomal RNA", at positions 509 to 807 of the family's 1533-position model. The record is from RNAcentral.